GUCAGCUCGUGUCGUGAGAUGUUGGGUUAAGUCCCGCAACGAGCGCAACCCUUGUUCACUGUUGCCAGCACGUUAUGGUGGGGACUCAGUGGAGACCGCCGGGGUCAACUCGGAGGAAGGUGGGGAUGACGUCAAGUCAUCAUGCCCCUUAUGUCCAGGGCUUCACGCAUGCUACAAUGGCUGGUACAGAGGGCUGCGAUACCGCAAGGUGGAGCGAAUCCCAUAAAGCCAGUCUCAGUUCGGAUUGGGGUCUGCAACUCGACCCCAUGAAGUCGGAGUCGCUAGUAAUCGCAGAUCAGCAACGCUGCGGUGAAUACGUUCCCGGGCCUUGUACACACCGCCCGUCAAGUCAUGAAAGUCGGAAACACCCGAAGCCGGUCGCCCAACCACUUGUGGAGGGAGCCGUCGAAGGUGAAGCCGGCGAUUGGGACUAAGUCGUAACAAGGUAGCCGUACCGGAAGGUGCGGCUGGAUCACCUCCUUU
RNAcentral lists this ribosomal RNA (483 nucleotides) under Cutibacterium acnes. RNAcentral's name for it is "bacterial SSU rRNA". It matches the Rfam family "Bacterial small subunit ribosomal RNA", at positions 1054 to 1533 of the family's 1533-position model. Lineage: Bacteria; Bacillati; Actinomycetota; Actinomycetes; Propionibacteriales; Propionibacteriaceae. The record is from RNAcentral.